AGUAACACGUGGAUAACCUACCUAUAAGACUGGGAUAACUUCGGGAAACCGGAGCUAAUACCGGAUGAUAUUUUGAACCGCAUUGUUCAAAAGUGAAAGACGGUCUUGCUGUCACUUAUAGAUUGAUCCGCGCUGCAUUAGCUAGUUGGUAAGGUAACGGCUUACCAAGGCAACGAUGCAUAGCCGACCUGAGAGGGUGAUCGGCCACACUGGAACUGAGACACGGUCCAG
RNAcentral lists this ribosomal RNA (231 nucleotides) under uncultured Staphylococcus sp. RNAcentral describes it as "partial 16S ribosomal RNA". It matches the Rfam family "Bacterial small subunit ribosomal RNA", at positions 109 to 334 of the family's 1533-position model. The record is from RNAcentral. Lineage: Bacteria; Bacillati; Bacillota; Bacilli; Caryophanales; Staphylococcaceae.